RNA transcript from Mytilus californianus (California mussel), 4135 nucleotides. RefSeq lists it as uncharacterized. The transcript is spliced from 8 exons. The record is from RefSeq and is a predicted model, not a curated record. NCBI's taxonomy places the organism in Eukaryota, Metazoa, Mollusca, Bivalvia, Mytilida, Mytilidae.
UGUAACUAUUUCCUAGAUUGAACAAUAUCUCUUUAUCUAUAUUUGUAAAUAAAAUAUUUAACCAUUUACAGUUAGAACUAAGCUAUUUUCUUAUCCAUGUACAUUUUAAAGCUAUCAUAAAUAGAUUAAUAUUUAUCAUCUUUAAACCACCAUUCUUAUAAUCCAUGUGUAACACUUCUUUUUGUACUCUAUGAAAUAUGUACAAAUUAUUAAUCUUAAAGUUAUAUCUCCACAAGAUUAGAAUUGCAAAUUAAAAAAUUACACUCAGACAAGUCGGCUGUUUAUUUUUUUUUUUUAGUUUAUAUUGUAAAAACAAAUGCACUGGAUAAAAAUCCAUUGAUUCGUUUCAACAGUCUCCGUUUAGUUUAAUAUAAAUAAGAAGAUUAUGUAUGAGUGCCAAUGAGACAACUUUCCAUCCAAGUCACAAUGUAUAAAAAGUUAACAAUUAUAGGUCAAAGUACAGCCUUCUGUAUGCUUAGAUUAUUUGUUCGUAUAGAAUAUUUGAUGCCUUUAUUAAUUAAUGUGUAUAUUUGUUAUUGUUUUGGAUAAGACAUUACUAAGUUGUAAAACUUUUGCUUGAUCAUUUUUUUUUUCAUUUUAAACAAUAAACAUAUGUUACACAAAAAGAAAAAUGAGAUUAUGGAUUUUGCUUUAAAGAGAAUUUUCGGCAUUUAGUAGUUUGACUUUUUUUUUAAUUUGAGAAAAGUUUUUUAAAAAAUUAGUUAAUAAUGUUUCUUGAUUAAAUUUACAGCAUGUCCACGGAUUACGAUCAUGUUUUGUAAUGUUGAAUGCUGAUUAACAUAUCGACAAAGUCGCUUUGUUAAAAAGGUUUUUUUCUCGGCAACGACAUAAUGUCACACUGUGCAAAGUUAAAUAGUGGAAAGUGGGUUUGCCUUCAUACUGUCAUUAUGUCAUUCAAAUGUAUCAUGUUACACACUGUCAGGUAAUACUGGUCGUUAUUGAAGUAAAACAUACUCUAUUAGAUGAAGUCCUAGUAUGUUGGAUUAAACCUUUGCUGAAUUUCAAGAAACGAUCCAUAUCAAAAUUCAAAUUUCAACCAUGGAACGACAACAUUGGUGUUCAUUUUGUCUUAUCCCUUUUAAAGAUGAAUUGAGUUUAAGAGCUCAUCUUUAUAUCCAUGAAAAACAGCCACCAGUUUCCUGUAGUCUGUGUCCGUUAACAUUUGUGCAUCAUAGUCAAUUGGGAAAUCAUAUCAGAUAUAAGCAUUCGGAUUAUAUCAUCAACACGUUUGUUGAAAAUGCUGAAAGUAUUUAUAGAAAAAAUAUAACAGACAUUACAACUGAGGUGGAAUCUGAUUCCGAAUGGACAGACAGUUCCGAAGAAGACAUUUCGGAGGAUACAGAUUUUGAAAGUGUGAAAGAGCCCGUUGAAAGCAUUUCGAAUGAAAUAAAAUACAUCUUAGCACAAAAUGUGAAUGAUGCUUCUGACAAUAAAAAUCCUAUAUGCGAAUUUGAUCCGAAAGGAGUCAAUACCAAACAUAUGAAUAUUUCAGAUGGACAUUAUGGCAAUGUAACGAGUUGUGGUGUUUCAUUUCUUGUCAAAUUAGAAAGGGAAAAAGCAGGAAGACAUUAUUUGAAUAUCACAAGAAACAUUCCUAAUUCAGAAGAUAACUCUCAACGACACAUAUUACAACAGCACAUGAAGUCGGCGUUCUUCAAUUCAGAUGACAGUGUGUGUACUAACCGACCAAGUUAUAAUUUCAGUGAUGAAAAUACAGACCCUGAUUUACGGGAUGAGUAUCAACAGGAAAAGACUCCAGUACACACAAAAGGAAUUGUACAGCAAAACCCAUGGGUUGAUUUGGAUAGCGAUGACGAAGAGAAACUGGAUUAUGGGGAAAACAAAACUAUGAUAGGCCAAAAUGCUGUUCGCGAUGAAAAAGAAUUCAUACAAAUAAAUGAAGAUCAUGAGCAAACCCCGUGGGUUGAUUUUGAUAGCGAAGAUGAAGGCAAACUGGAUUAUGGGGAAAACAAAGCUAUGAUAGGCCAAAAUGGUGCUCACGAUGAAGACGAAUUAAUACGAGUUCAUGAAGAUCAUGAGGUGGAAGAAUGUUCUUAUGCUGUACAUUAUUUAGUAUUUUGAGCUGACAUAAUGCAAUGCUAUGUUAUUCUAUAUGAACAAAGUAACUUGUUGUCCGACAAUACGAUAGACAUUUUUGGCAGAAUUGAGAAUGGAUUCUAAUAUCGAUUUGUUACUCGUUUGGGGAAUAGUUCCAAAUUUGGCGGGUUGUCACCCAACUGUUGACAACAUUCAAAAUUGGUUGAAAGCAACUACAAAUUAAUAACUAUGGCUUUGAUAAAUCCAAGCUCGCAGUAGCAGAUGUGGUAUAUAGUCCGGAACAAGGAGUAUGGAAGGAGGCUAUCGACAUACUAAAGGCUACUUUUAUGAAAAAGAAGAAAAGAGCUAGGAAAAGAGGACGGUUCGCUACAACAAAUACAGUUUCGUUCACAAAGUGGUUACCCGCUAAUUUUCCUGUGGAAGGUGUUAUGUGUGGUUGUGGAAGAAACCUUAAAACACCGAAAUCGCUUUUAGGUCACUUACGAAGAAAAAGCUCCACCGCCCGUAAAAAUGUAAAGUUAUUUAGAAAGGGAAUAUAAUCAAAACACUUUACAUGCCUUUGGAGACGUUACAUAGUGCCAUGCAUAUCUUAUUUAAAACACAUUAAUGACGGCUGAACAUUGUAGAAUAUAAAAGUGCGAUAUAUUUACAAUUCUUUAACUAGAUUAAUACUACGGAGGAUAUGUCUUAUUUUUGACACUAUUUCAUAGACGCUUUUUAAAAAGCAAACUCAAAUGUCAUGAAACAGUUAGCGAAUAAUAAGAUAAAAAUAAAAAGUUGCAUCAUGUUCUUUUAUCCUUCAUUACAUCUCAUGAAAUCAGUACACUUGCAACUUAUUAUCGAUUAUAAUAACCUAACUACAAACACAACAGAUUAAAAGAAAAGAACAAUGAACUGUUUAUCCUUCCGUUUUCCUGAAUUCACCUUUCAUUGUGUUUGAAACGAGUUCAUGCAAUCUGAUUAAUAUACAGACUCGGUGUGUCCGAUAUUUUCUGACUAUGAUCUGAAAGCGCUCCAUUCUACUUUCAGUUUAAAUACCUUUCGGUGUCGUUUGCUUUUUUUCCGGAUUGUUAUUGAUGUGUUUGAGCUUUUGAUGUUGCCAUUUGAUAAAGGACUUUCUGUUUUGAAUUUUCAUUGGAGUUCGGUAUUUUUGCUAUUUUACUUCUUACACACUUUCGAAAUAAGGAUGGCUGACAUUUCAUUGGCUGAUGUAAUAAGUACCAGGACAGAAAUAAAACGGAUUGUGUCAGAUCCUUGUAAGCAAAGCUUAAACACAAAAUAUUAUGUUAAGCCGAUCGGGGACGAUGUUGCGUUUUUGUUAGGUAAUUAAUGGGUUAAAUGAUAUUUUAUUUCAGAAUGUAUUUUUUUCUUUCUUCUUGUCAUUCAUUGUCUUUGAAAAUCGCGUUUUCUUUUCAAUUUUUCACAUUCUGCCAUCAUAAGGGACGGAUAAUUUAUACAACAAAUAAUCUUUUGAUUAAGAUAAGAGACGGUAAGCAAUCUGUUAUUAUGUGAUAUGGUAUAAUUGCCAAUGAGACACACUAUCCAACAUAGAGCAAAUGAAGUGGAAGCAAACAACUAUAGGUCAUCGUUAAUCCUUGAACAAUGGGCAACACCCAAACCGCAUAGUAAAAGAAAGGCCAAAGAUACCACAGGCAACUACAAGACUAAAAACAGUACACAAAACAUUAACAGAGAAAACGAAAGACUGCGAAACAAUGAUUCCGUCAAGAAACGGGGAGCUCUCAAUAAAAAAAAAAACUUAACUUGAUAGACGAUCAAACAAUAAACUAAAUACAAAUAUAUAAGACUGCAACAAACGAUUACAAUUCCAUUGAAUUACAGAAUCCUUCUUGGGAAAGACACAUACAAUAUGCAGUAGGAUUAAACAUGUUCGCGAGUGUAACACCCAUGACCUUCAACAGUUAUGUAACAGGACACCAUAUGAACAAUCUGCAAAAAUCAUUUGGAAAUGGUUUGAUUUAAAAUAGGCAUCAAUCACAAAAAUCUACUAACAAAAAAGAAAAAGAAAAAGAAAAAAAAAAAAAAAAAAAACAAA